AAACUUAAAGGAAUUGACGGGAACCCGCACAAGCGGUGGAGUAUGUUGUUUAAUUCGAAGAUACACGAAGAACCUUACCAGGUCUUGACAUACCAUUGACAGGUGUAGAGAUACACUCUCCUUCGGGCAAUGGAUACAGGUGGUGCAUGGUUGUCGUCAGCUCGUGCCGUGAGGUGUUGGGUUAAGUCCCGCAACGAGCGCAACCCUCAUUGUUAGUUACUACCAUUCAGUUGAGGACUCUAAUGAGACUGCCAACGACAAGUUGGAGGAAGGUGGGGAUGACGUCAAAUCAUCAUGCCCUUUAUGACCUGGGCUACAAACGUACUACAAUGGCCAAUACAAAGAGAUGCGAAGCGGUGACGUGAAACGAACCUCAGAAAGUUGGUCUCAGUUCAGAUUGAAGUCUGCAACUCGACUUCAUGAAGGCGGAAUCGCUAGUAAUCGCGGGUCAGCAGACCGCGGUGAAUACGUUCCCGGGCCUU
This 482-nucleotide ribosomal RNA is filed under the name uncultured Mollicutes bacterium. RNAcentral's name for it is "bacterial SSU rRNA". It matches the Rfam family "Bacterial small subunit ribosomal RNA", at positions 897 to 1382 of the family's 1533-position model. Lineage: Bacteria; Bacillati; Mycoplasmatota; Mollicutes. The record is from RNAcentral.